RNAcentral lists this ribosomal RNA (218 nucleotides) under uncultured Lactobacillus sp. RNAcentral describes it as "partial 16S ribosomal RNA". It matches the Rfam family "Bacterial small subunit ribosomal RNA", at positions 144 to 355 of the family's 1533-position model. The record is from RNAcentral. Lineage: Bacteria; Bacillati; Bacillota; Bacilli; Lactobacillales; Lactobacillaceae.
UAACACCUGGAAACAGAUGCUAAUACCGGAUAACAACAGAUGAUGCCUAUCAACUGUUUAAAAGAUGGUUCUGCUAUCACUCUUGGAUGGACCUGCGGUGCAUUAGCUAGUUGGUAGGGUAACGGCCUACCAAGGCGAUGAUGCAUAGCCGAGUUGAGAGACUGAUCGGCCACAUUGGGACUGAGACACGGCCCAAACUCCUACGGGAGGCAGCAGUC